This 1801-nucleotide long non-coding RNA is filed under the name Marmota monax (woodchuck). Lineage: Eukaryota; Metazoa; Chordata; Mammalia; Rodentia; Sciuridae. The record is from RNAcentral.
AGACAAUCUGCCUGUCAUCACAGAGUAGGUGGCCAGGCAGGACUGUGGGUGUGGAUAUGGGGACUAUGUCAGUUGUUAACCAGGGUCCACACUGCAGUUACCAGGAGCUAGUUGGUAUUAAGUUGCAAUUCCACUGGACAGGAACCAGAGAGUUUAUUUCACCCUGAAAGCAAAAGCCAUCUCCUUUCUACACAGACAAGUCCCCUUAAGGUAGGUGGGAUUUGUUCUGUUAAUUCAUCUACCAUGUAAAAAACAAUGGGCUUGAUGCUGGAGAUAGAGUGUUCAACAAGACAGACAGAGGCCCUGCAGCCAUGGACAGGACUUUCUCGAUCAUAAUUUUCAAUCUGUUUAUUCUGUUUAUAAAUCCUUGUCAGGAGAAUUAAAAUACCCAUUUCUGCUUCUUUGAGGUCCUAUGGUCUUUUAAAUUUCCAAAAGUCUUCAUUUUUAUAUUCUGUUAAAUAUUAAUAUUGAGUGGAACAGCAGAAUAGAAAAUAUACUUAAGUGGAUAGAAGAGGGCUUUUUCAUGCGUCUUUACCAUCAAUUAGCUAGUUCACCUUUCACUCACUGAAGUUCAUCCCUGGUUGAACCUUAGAACCAUACAGAGAACAUAAAAAAAUAAAGCUUUAAAAACCAAAAAUUAAAACAACCUCUCACACACAGUGUUCAGAUCCAACCUCUGACCAAUAAGAGAAUCUCCAAAAGUAAGGGCCUAGACUUCUAUGUAAGCAAAUCCAUUUGUGCUUUCUAAAUUAUAAGAUUUGACAAAUUCCCCUCUAAGCUGAUUUCCCUUUUUUAAAAUUAACUGAUUUUGUCUGAAUUUACAGCCAAGCCAUUGAGCAUAUUGUCAGGAAGUUUAGAAAACUGUAGCAUAGAAUUUUGAUGAAGGGGCACCAUUAAGUGAGCAUAUUCACUUGACUUUUUUCCUUAAUAUUUCUUUUUACUUCCUACUUCUCCUCUUUUCAAGAGCAUCUUUUUCUUUCAAGGACUGUGAGUUGAGACUAUGCAGGAAAAUCUGAAAGACUCACAAACAUCAAGUUGAUAGGUUUCCAUCUCCUGAAAAGCUAUCUACUGGAAGCUGAAACUUCAUGACAGUGGGGAAAGCUCAUGAAAUUCACCAGCCUNCUGGCAUGGCUGUCCUUGGUCAGGACAAGAGAUGCUUCCUCAUCCAAACUAGAAAUAGGGACAGUUCUGUGGGGAACAAGUAAGUUGGUGGUUUUCUUGAUUUUUCUCAGUAAAGCAAGAAACAAGGAAAUUUGCUUAGAGUCGAGGAAGAUUAUGGCUUUAUAAGAAUUGAAGUUUUGUAAUCAGAAGGGAGCAUCAGUAUUACUGUAGCUCAUCAAAAUGAAAACAAAGGGAAAGAGCUAUAAUGCUGAUGGUCGAAGUUUGUAGAAUACAAAUUGAAAUGGUUCAUAUUAUAAAGUUAACUGAUACCAAUAAAAAGUAUAUUCUUAUAAUUUUAGAGGUAAAAAGUUUAAUUGUAGACUUGAGUUGUUGGAGUUUUGCUUAACAGAUGUGGCUGAAGAAAGGAGCUACAAAAGGAAUGAAAGAUGUUGGUGCAAGUUUAAUAUCUACAACAAACAGAAGAGAGUUCAAGAAAGAGCUGUUCACUUUCUUAGCACUAUUUCUCUCUUAGCAAUAUAUCCUUGCUUCUUUAACACACACACACACCACACACACACACACACACACACAUACACAUACACAAAUAUUCAUAUGCACAUAAUCUGAUGCUAAGACAGUUUCAAGAACACAUCUUCCAAAGCAUAUGCUAAAGGAGGUAAAUAUGUAAAAACAUGGAACA